AGUCCCGUAGUGUAACGGUAUCACACGACCUUCACACGGUCGAGACGGCGGUCCGACUCCGCCCGGGACUA
RNAcentral lists this transfer RNA (71 nucleotides) under Candidatus Iainarchaeum sp. RNAcentral's name for it is "tRNA-Val". It matches the Rfam family "tRNA". Rfam says of the family: Transfer RNA (tRNA) molecules are approximately 80 nucleotides in length. Their secondary structure includes four short double-helical elements and three loops (D, anti-codon, and T loops). Lineage: Archaea; Nanobdellati; Candidatus Iainarchaeota; Candidatus Iainarchaeia; Candidatus Iainarchaeales; Candidatus Iainarchaeaceae. The record is from RNAcentral.